RNAcentral lists this ribosomal RNA (492 nucleotides) under uncultured bacterium. RNAcentral's name for it is "partial 16S ribosomal RNA". It matches the Rfam family "Bacterial small subunit ribosomal RNA", at positions 29 to 507 of the family's 1533-position model. The record is from RNAcentral.
AGUGAACGCUGGCGGUAGGCCUAACACAUGCAAGUCGAACGGCAGCACAGUAAGAGCUUGCUCUUACGGGUGGCGAGUGGCGGACGGGUGAGGAAUACAUCGGAAUCUACUUUUUCGUGGGGGAUAACGUAGGGAAACUUACGCUAAUACCGCAUACGACCUACGGGUGAAAGCAGGGGAUCUUCGGACCUUGCGCGAUUGAAUGAGCCGAUGUCGGAUUAGCUAGUUGGCGGGGUAAAGGCCCACCAAGGCGACGAUCCGUAGCUGGUCUGAGAGGAUGAUCAGCCACACUGGAACUGGGACACGGUCCCAACUCCUAAGGGAGGCAGCAGUGGGGAAUAUUGGACAAUGGGCGCAAGCCUGAUCCAGCCAUACCGCGUGGGUGAAGAAGGCCUUCGGGUUGUAAAGCCCUUUUGUUGGGAAAGAAAAGCAGCAGGUUAAUACCCCGCUGUUCUGACGGUACCCAAAGAAUAAGCACCGGCUAACUUCGUG